GCUCUGGCUCCUUCGACCUCUACGAAGUGACCGGUAGGCCACCAACCUAGUGCCCGGUUGCGAGACCAGCGCUACACCAACUCGACGCGUCCUCCCCCUCCUCCGACCCCUGUCCCUUGGCCCGGUCCCUCCUCCGUUCCUUCUUGCGUGUCAGACGUGACCCCAUAUUUUAAUAGAUGAUGAAUGGAAACACAGAGCUGUAUACGAACAGUAAGUAGCACGAUGGUCUCCGGUAGUAAUAGGUCAUAGUAUCGCUACUAUUUUUACUGAUAACCUAUGAGGCGUAUAAGAGUAGACUAAAGAGUAUAUAUCUAUAAUUAAAGGAAAGUACCCUCCGGAAGUAAUGUAAAGUCGCCGUCAACGCCUACACCUGCCGCCAACUCCCUCCCAGAGGCUGAUCUCGUCGUCCUCGUUCCUCGAGCUCCUUCAAGUCCAAAUACCGAAGAGUGCCCUACACUAAGACCAGUACGACGGACAAUACUUCCGGCUCCGCUCGUAGUACUUCUGCUCGUCCGCUCACCGACUAUAUCUCUCGAGGAGGUUGCCCCUUCAUCGUAACGACCUCCUUGAGCUUCUACUCGACCAGUUAAAACCGUACAGGUCAAGUACAUU
This 612-nucleotide ribosomal RNA is filed under the name Triticum aestivum (bread wheat). Its description in RNAcentral is "partial small subunit ribosomal RNA". Lineage: Eukaryota; Viridiplantae; Streptophyta; Magnoliopsida; Poales; Poaceae. The record is from RNAcentral.